GGCUGCGGAGGCUUCUCGGGGCCCCGGCGGCUCGACCUGGUACGGGCGGGAGGCUCGGGCAGGCGGCCCGGCGCGGGACUCGGGCGUGAGUGACCAAGGGGUGCUGACCGCGGCGCUCGGACCCGGCAACUUACAAGAUUAAAAUUAAAUUUGGUUGAUGAUGGUUCUGGACAAAUACAGCUCUUUUAUUUGAGGUAUGCCAUUUUGAAGACAGACCCGUGGAAUUUUAUCCUUGAGGAUAGGGGAAAUCUUUGUGAAAGUCUGUAUUUUAUAAAGCAACAAUAUGAAUCCUGAGGCUGAAUUGUCUAAGGGGCCUGUACAGCGAAAUAGAUCACCCAGUCAGCUUGAAGAGUCUCAAAUGGACCCUACAACUGAGAAAUCAAGAUGGCAGUCCACUAUGGGAAAUGAGAAAAAUGGACUAAUGCAAGAGUGCUGUGAUAAUAACAACCAAGACAGGGUUCUUUUAACAUGGAUUUCAUGAAUGAAGAUAUAGGUUUCUUAACCAACACAAUGGACAGUGGAUUUGACUUUGGAAAGACUUUUUGUAUCAUAAAAACAAGAACAUUUUUGACACUUGGAGAAGAAAGAUGACACAUUAACAGAUGAUAGUGUGUAUGCCUGGAAUUUUUUGGUUUGAUUUGUAUGAGAAUGACCUUGUGGAAUGUUAACUUUAAUAAAAUUUCUAACAGUUUAAAAUUUCUCAGUUUGGGCUUUUUUUUUUUAAAGCGGAAAUUUCAUUAAAUUCUCAGUGUCGCCUUAAAUAACAUUUUGACCUUUAUAGUUGCCCAGCAGUAAAGCAUACUGAAUAAAGCUGGUAAAAUGGAAAUGGUGUGCUGGAAAAUGUUUUGUUUGGUUGAUUUAGAUUUGUCUUUUGACAAAGUUGUGCAAAUUUAUUUGUGCCUUAAGAGAUGGUUGAGUGUUGAGUUAAAAUACUGUUACAUGCUUUCUUGAAAUAUCUUGCAAAAUAAGUUAACCAAUGAGUAAUAAUAGAAUACUUAAUUUGCUGUGAGAUUACAAUGAACUUUUAAAACAAACUGCCUUUUGCUUCAAAAUUCAUGAUACAGUCUUUUUCUGAGUUUUGAUGGGAAAAGUACCUUUUCUAUGUUUUUUAAAUGUUAUAAAUAAGAACAUCUGAGCAUUAAAACAAAAUCCUCUUGUCUUAAUAGUUAAUAUUACGUGAAGAGGUGUUGGAUUUAUAGAGAGGUUUCCUUAGGGUAUUCAUAAAAGGAUUUAAAAUUUUGGUGGCAGUAAUGUAUACAAUAUAUUUUAUAAAAUAGAAUCAUUAUAUUUUUCUUAUUCUAUACAUUUAGGAAUUUAGAUUAAAUGAAUCACACCAUGCCAUAGAUAACUUAUGUUUGAGUUCUAGGUGAACACUGCAGUUUCAUUUAUUGAUAAUCAACUAAAAUCAGUUUCAAUUACUGUUAUGAGAUGUGGUAGGCUUUAUUUUGACAAACCAAAUUAAUUGUUGAUUAUAUUUUCCCAUUAUAGACAGAACAAGUGAUAAUGUUGGGGUUUUUUUUGAUGAGGAAGUGUUCGUCAUACUGCGUUUGUGAUUAAUGUAAAAUACCAGGAUAUGCAUGUUGAUGAUAUAUAGUACAUGUACAGUAUUUGUUCUCAUUGGCUGAUUUGAGGUGUUUGUAUAAAUCAAAAGUGGAAAUUUGGAUUUUGAUACAAAAUUAUCUUUUGUAGAAAGUAUGGAAUUGAAGCUAGGUUUUGGUUAUAGAUUUUAUAAUCACCCAGGUGCAAAAUUGUUGCUUUUGUUGGGUGUAAAUCUAAAUUGAUUUCUCAAUGAGGAGAAGGACAUUGUUCUGGCAGAUUGUAAUGUUGAGUAUGGAAAGAUGAUUUGUUUUUUGAAUGUGAGUGUUUUUUUGGGGUGCUUGUUGAGAAAGUGUUGAAUAAUUUGGUUUUGUCAUUUGUAAUUUUGUUUCUUCAGAUGUUAUGGUUUUAUUUAGGAGAAUUUGCCCUGUGACAUUAUUUUGAUUACUUUCCAUCAAAAUGACUGGUUAUUAAUUUAUUGUUGUUGAAAUGGGUAAAUACUUAGAAUUUGAUUUGAAAUACAAGAGAAUGGUUGAGAUACAUGUGUUGGUUUUGGAGGUGGAGUUUUUUGGGUUUGUUUUUUCGUAGUAGUUCCAUACUCUUGAAUUGUUUUUCCUGAAUCAUUGUUGUUAUGAGAAUUUUGGGGGUAAAGUUUAUCAGGGUUAUAUAAUGGGUUAAAAGAAUUUUGUGAAAGUACAAAUGAAAAUUGAGAUUCUUGAAUAAAAUCUUGUUGCA
Molecule: long non-coding RNA, 2271 nt
Filed under: Sus scrofa (pig)
Lineage: Eukaryota; Metazoa; Chordata; Mammalia; Artiodactyla; Suidae
Description: lncRNA (ENSSSCG00025002323.1)
Source: RNAcentral